RNAcentral lists this transfer RNA (73 nucleotides) under Bacteroidota bacterium. RNAcentral's name for it is "Bacteroidetes bacterium (activated sludge metagenome) tRNA-Gln". It matches the Rfam family "tRNA". From Rfam's summary of the family: Transfer RNA (tRNA) molecules are approximately 80 nucleotides in length. Their secondary structure includes four short double-helical elements and three loops (D, anti-codon, and T loops). Lineage: Bacteria; Pseudomonadati; Bacteroidota. The record is from RNAcentral.
UGCCGGAUCGCCUAACCGGGAGGGCACCAGAUUUUGACUCUGGUAUGUGCAGGUUCGAAUCCUGCUCCGGCAA